Molecule: long non-coding RNA, 535 nt
Organism: Capsicum annuum
Lineage: Eukaryota; Viridiplantae; Streptophyta; Magnoliopsida; Solanales; Solanaceae
Exons: 4
Source: RefSeq, a predicted model, not a curated record
AUUAGACUAAAAAUUAUGCACGAAAAAAUUCCCCUCUUCCCUCGCCUUUUCCUUUUUCAAAGGGUACGAUUUCCCUUAUCCACAAUUCUCAUUCAACUUGCGCUUUUCAUCGUCCUCUUCACAUCAGGGCAAAAGUGCAAUCGGGACAACGAAGGAUCUAAGAUGGAAUCCCAAGGUCUCGCUAAGCAGUAGAUCAUUUUAUCAGAUGAUCGAAGUUGGAGGGCUCUUGGAAUUUCAUGGUCGAGAUGCUCAUCGUGGUCAGGGCCUCAGUUCGGAUCGUGACAAAUACACAUAAUAAGUGCUCGAGCACAACAAUAUGGAGCGUGAGACGCGUGGAUACAACCACAUUAUCAAGUGAUAUUAAUACAAAGCAAUAAGCAACUACUUAACACUUUUGUAUAUUUGCUUAAUUAUCACGGAGCUACCUACUAUAUUAUGUAAUGUUUUAAGUCAUCAUAUAUGUAGUUAUAUAACUUUAGUUUGAUGGGGAUCUGAAUUGGUAAUAUUUACUUUUAUGGAUAUUGAUAUUGAAGUU